UAACCAUGCAAGUCGAGCGGAUGACAGGAGCUUGCUCCUGAAUUCAGCGGCGGACGGGUGAGUAAUGCCUAGGAAUCUGCCUGGUAGUGGGGGACAACGUUUCGAAAGGAACGCUAAUACCGCAUACGUCCUACGGGAGAAAGCAGGGGACCUUCGGGCCUUGCGCUAUCAGAUGAGCCUAGGUCGGAUUAGCUAGUUGGUGAGGUAAUGGCUCACCAAGGCGACGAUCCGUAACUGGUCUGAGAGGAUGAUCAGUCACACUGGAACUGAGACACGGUCCAGACUCCUACGGGAGGCAGCAGUGGGGAAUAUUGGACAAUGGGCGAAAGCCUGAUCCAGCCAUGCCGCGUGUGUGAAGAAGGUCUUCGGAUUGUAAAGCACUUUAAGUUGGGAGGAAGGGUUGUAGAUUAAUACUCUGCAAUUUUGACGUUACCGACAGAAUAAGCACCGGCUAACUCUGUGCCAGCAGCCGCGGUAAU
Molecule: ribosomal RNA, 479 nt
Filed under: uncultured bacterium
Lineage: Bacteria
Description: bacterial SSU rRNA
Rfam family: Bacterial small subunit ribosomal RNA
Source: RNAcentral